RNAcentral lists this unclassified non-coding RNA (378 nucleotides) under uncultured Gammaproteobacteria bacterium. RNAcentral's name for it is "contains 16S-23S intergenic spacer region". The record is from RNAcentral. Lineage: Bacteria; Pseudomonadati; Pseudomonadota; Gammaproteobacteria.
UCCGGCUUAUCACCGGCAGUCGCCUUAGAGUGCCCAACUAAAUGAUGGCAACUAAAGACGAGGGUUGCGCUCGUUGCGGGACUUAACCCAACAUCUCACGACACGAGCUGACGACAGCCAUGCAGCACCUGUGUUACGUCUCCCUUUCGGGCACACCCAGCUCUCGCUGGGCUUCCGUACAUGUCAAGGGUAGGUAAGGUUUUUCGCGUUGCAUCGAAUUAAUCCACAUAAUCCACCGCUUGUGCGGGUCCCCGUCAAUUCCUUUGAGUUUUAACCUUGCGGCCGUACUCCCCAGGCGGUCGACUUCACGCGUUAGCUUCGUUACUGAGAGUGUCAAACCCCCAACAACCAGUCGACAUCGUUUAGGGCGUGGACUAC